UACCGCAUAAGAGUAAUUAACACAUGUUAGUUAUUUAAAAGGAGCAAAUUGCUUCACUGUGAGAUGGACCUGCGUUGUAUUAGCUAGUUGGUGAGGUAAAGGCUCACCAAGGCGACGAUACAUAGCCGACCCUGAGAGGGUGAUCGGGCCACACUGGGACUGAGACACGGCCCAGACUCCUACGGGAGGCAGCAGUAGGGAAUCUUCGGCAAUGGACGGAAGUCUGACCGAGCAACGCCGCGUGAGUGAAGAAGGUUUUCGGAUCGUAAAGCUCUGUUGUUAGAGAAGAACGUUGGUAGGAGUGGAAAAUCUACCAAGUGACGGUAACUAACCAGAAAGGGACGGCUAACUACGUGCCAGCAGCCGCGGUAAU
This 373-nucleotide ribosomal RNA is filed under the name uncultured Streptococcus sp. RNAcentral describes it as "bacterial SSU rRNA". It matches the Rfam family "Bacterial small subunit ribosomal RNA", at positions 167 to 524 of the family's 1533-position model. The record is from RNAcentral. Lineage: Bacteria; Bacillati; Bacillota; Bacilli; Lactobacillales; Streptococcaceae.